RNAcentral lists this ribosomal RNA (439 nucleotides) under uncultured bacterium. RNAcentral's name for it is "bacterial SSU rRNA". It matches the Rfam family "Bacterial small subunit ribosomal RNA", at positions 355 to 814 of the family's 1533-position model. The record is from RNAcentral.
UGGGGAAUUUUGGGCAAUGGGCGAAAGCCUGACCCAGCAACGCCGCGUGAAGGAUGAAGUAUUUCGGUAUGUAAACUUCGAAAGAAUAGGAAGAAUAAAUGACGGUACUAUUUAUAAGGUCCGGCUAACUACGUGCCAGCAGCCGCGGUAAUACGUAGGGACCAAGCGUUGUUCGGAUUUACUGGGCGUAAAGGGCGCGUAGGCGGCAAUUCAAGUCAUCUGUGAAAUCUCCGGGCUUAACUCGGAACGGUCAGAUGAUACUGCUUUGCUAGAGUGCAGAAGGGGCAAUCGGAAUUCUUGGUGUAGCGGUGAAAUGCGUAGAUAUCAAGAGGAACACCUGAGGUGAAGACGGGUUGCUGGGCUGACACUGACGCUGAGGCGCGAAAGCCAGGGGAGCAAACGGGAUUAGAUACCCGUGUAGUCCCUGAGCGGGCUGGCA